Molecule: ribosomal RNA, 516 nt
Filed under: uncultured Glomus
Lineage: Eukaryota; Fungi; Glomeromycota; Glomeromycetes; Glomerales; Glomeraceae
Description: SSU rRNA
Rfam family: Eukaryotic small subunit ribosomal RNA
Source: RNAcentral
UUUUGUGGGGGCAAGUCUGGUGCCAGCAGCCGCGGUAAUUCCAGCUCCAAUAGCGUAUAUUAAAGUUGUUGCAGUUAAAAAGCUCGUAGUUGAAUUUCGAGACCGGUUUACUGGUCGUGCUUUUGUACGUACUGGUAUUAUUGGUUUCUCCUUUCUGACGAAUCAUAAUGCCAUUAAUUUGGUGUUUUGGGGAAUCAGGACUGUUACUUUGAAAAAAUUAGAGUGUUUAAAGCAGGCUCACGCUUGAAUACAUUAGCAUGGAAUAACGAAAUAGGACGUUUGAUUUUAUUUUGUUGGUUUCUAGGAUCGACGUAAUGAUUAAUAGGGAUAGUUGGGGGCAUUAGUAUUCAAUUGUCAGAGGUGAAAUUCUUGGAUUUAUUGAAGACUAACUACUGCGAAAGCAUUUGCCAAGGAUGUUUUCAUUAAUCAAGAACGAAAGUUAGGGGAUCGAAGACGAUCAGAUACCGUCGUAGUCUUAACCAUAAACUAUGCCGACUAGGGAUCGGAUGAUGUUAA